RNAcentral lists this long non-coding RNA (2343 nucleotides) under Oryctolagus cuniculus (rabbit). RNAcentral describes it as "lncRNA (ENSOCUG00000037489.1)". The record is from RNAcentral. Lineage: Eukaryota; Metazoa; Chordata; Mammalia; Lagomorpha; Leporidae.
AUUAGGGUUGCAGUGAUACUUAGGGCAAUGCAAUCAAAACUAGUCCAAAUCUCCAUUAGUUCAUAAUGGCCUUGUCAAAAUGACAGCAGGAUAAUUGUCUGUUCUGAGAGAGGACUGCAGUACAAUCAGUAGACCUGUGCAUCAGAGUCUCUGUAGGUUGGUAGAGAUAGAUGUCAACAUGAUUUAAGAUGUUCACCAGGGAGUCUUGAGAAUAAGUCACAGGGCACAGGUCCCCAGACACAAAGUCUUGCAGUCAAAAACUUACAAGUGAAGUCACUUGUCAUGGAAAGGAGCCAAGCCUGGAUCUACAUCCUGUCCAGACUGACCGUAGAAUGUGUGAUCAAAGUAGGUGCUCUGGCAGAAGAGCAGGUGAAGGAGGAAAUUAAUAUUUAGUGAGUCCCAACAGUUCACUGAGUGAUGUCUUGGGUGCCUCGUAUUUUGUGUUCUAGUUCAUCUUUCCAGGACUGAGAGCAACUUGACCCAUUAACAAAUGAGUAAAUUCAGGCUGGAAAAGUUAAGCAAAUCAUCUGAAGAUAAGGAGAUUAUAAGUGACAGUUACUACUCAGUCUGUUUGAUUUGACAGCCUACACAGUUUUCAAGGCACUGGCAAAAAAAAAAAAGACUCACAACCUCAGGAUAUGAGUCCAGCUCUUGAAACUUGAAUGUGAUCAAUACUUAGAUGUGUCAUGGGUUUCAUGAACCAAGUGUUUUUGUGUCACUACGUUCAUCUUGUCCAAGUCAGCCCCAUUAGAACAUUACUCACAAGAGUACUGCAUUAGCCAUAUUAAUGCUUUGGCUCACAGAGAGGCCCUUAUCCUUUCUGUAUCAAUCAAAAGGGACUUCUACCUUAAGGGUCAGUUCCCAAGUCACUUUGAGUCUUUUCAAGGUCCUGUUAAGCAAGACUCCCCUUGAUCAUAUUUGUCCCCACAAAAUCUUCCAGCUUUGCACAGGGUUGCAUUGCAAUCCCUAGUACACAGCUAUGUCUCCAUCCCAUGGUUCUAAGGCAACCUGAAAUAGUAGCAAACACCAGUUUCCUCAGGUCUCUGACUAAGAUAAGGACAUCAUUAAUGGGAUCUUAUUCCUACGUCAGCUACUGACUCAUUUGACCUCUCUGUGCCAAAAUUCCUCCCUUUAAAUUAAGGGUUAUAUAGAUCAUGCAUCUGUAAUACUUAGGAUAGCACUUGGCACAAGGAGAACAGGUAUGGCUUGUACAAAACAUGAAUUCUUUGUUCUUCAUCUUGACCCUACGUCCCUCUUACACUUUUAUAUACUUCCAGGUCAGGGAAACUUCACUGUACUUUUAUGGGUCCCCUUAAACUAUCCCAGUACCUGGUAGUGAGGAUUUCAGAAUUUUGUUUGACCUGAAAGGCCACCACAAGUUUUGCAACUGGAACAAUCAACUAUGUUGUUUGGUGGAAUUUCAUCUGAUUAUAGACAAUCUUGGCAGUAAUAGCUUGCUAGGGCUACCAUAGCAAAGUUUCAGAGUAUGUGGCUUCAUCUACAGAAAAUAAUUAUCUCAUAAUUCUAGAGUCUACAAGUUCAAGAUCAGAGUGUCAGUAGUGCUGGCAUCUUCUAAGACCUCUCUUCUGGGCUUGUAGGUGGCUUUCUUUUCCCUGUGUCCUCGCGUGGUUGCAUGGUUAUCCCUUUGUGAGUUACAAGAGCAGUAGUUGUAUUGGUUUAGGACCAAGCCAUGUGAGCUCUCUUUUACUCAACCACCUCUCUAAAGACUCUUUGUCUAAAUAUUUAGAGUCAAACAUGGAGAAUUCCGGGGUACUAGAGAGUGAGACUUAAAAUCUGGAUUUUGGGGAGACAGAGUUCAGCUUAUCACUGAUGCUGCUCUGAAAACAAUCAAACCUGGAGUUUAUUGCUGGAACAAAAAGGAUGAGGGAGCAUCAAGAGAGACACAAAAUUCUCCCAGUUGUGGAUGAAGGGGACUCUGCAUAAGACUAGGCCUGGUUAGAAAACUCACUUUGUGGAGGAGUUGAAGAGAGAGGGAAAUUCAGGAAACAUGGAGACCUAUGUCCUAUACAUGCAGUGAAUCUGACACAGGCAGCUGAGUCAUGGCACAUGUUCUAUUUUGGUCUUCAGGGUACAGGGGGAUACAAACUCAGAGAAAAAUGAGUUUCUGCCCUAGCCCUGCCAUCAGUAGUAAAACAGCAUCAAUGCCUUGACCUUUGUAUACCUUUGUUUCCCCAUAUGUAAAUGAGUUAAUUAUAAUACUUACCUAACAGAACUGUUGUGAUGCUUAGACAGGAUGGUGGAUCUGAAGCCACAGUCUUAAUGUUGGACACAUUCUAAGGGCUCAACAAAUAAAAGCUAUGAUGAGGAAUAAUAAUAUAACCA